GAUGAACGCUGGCGGCGUGCCUAAUACAUGCAAGUCGAGCGAACAGACGAGGAGCUUGCUCCUCUGACGUUAGCGGCGGACGGGUGAGUAACACGUGGAUAACCUACCUAUAAGACUGGGAUAACUUCGGGAAACCGGAGCUAAUACCGGAUAAUAUAUUGAACCGCAUGGUUCAAUAGUGAAAGACGGUUUUGCUGUCACUUAUAGAUGGAUCCGCGCCGCAUUAGCUAGUUGGUAAGGUAACGGCUUACCAAGGCAACGAUGCGUAGCCGACCUGAGAGGGUGAUAGGCCACACUGGAACUGAGACACGGUCCAGACGCCUACGGGAGGCAGCAGUAGGGAAUCUGCCGCAAAGGGCGAAAGCCUGACGGAGCAACGCCGAGUGAGUGAUGAAGGUCUUCGGAUCGUAAAACUCUGUUAUUAGGGAAGAACAAAUGUGUAAGUAACUAUGCACGUCUUGACGGUACCUAAUCAGAAAGCCACGGCUAACUACGUG
RNAcentral lists this ribosomal RNA (497 nucleotides) under uncultured bacterium. RNAcentral describes it as "partial 16S ribosomal RNA". It matches the Rfam family "Bacterial small subunit ribosomal RNA", at positions 28 to 507 of the family's 1533-position model. The record is from RNAcentral.